This 228-nucleotide non-coding RNA is filed under the name Geoalkalibacter ferrihydriticus. Its description in RNAcentral is "T-box sequence". It matches the Rfam family "T-box leader". Rfam says of the family: Uncharged tRNA acts as the effector for transcription antitermination of genes in the T-box leader family. T-boxes are found upstream of many aminoacyl-tRNA synthetase genes and some amino acid biosynthetic genes usually in Gram-positive bacteria. Lineage: Bacteria; Pseudomonadati; Thermodesulfobacteriota; Desulfuromonadia; Desulfuromonadales; Geoalkalibacteraceae. The record is from RNAcentral.
UUAAAAGCUGUGAAGAGGAGUAGUAGACCUCAACUUUCGUCACAGAGAGCCGGCGGUUGGUGCAAGCCGGUACGAAAGCGGUCGAACUCGCCUUGGAGCUGCUCGGGUCAAGCCGCAGCCAUGCGGCCAGCUCGGGUCGUGAACCUGCGUUAAGGGUGAAUGAAGGGCUCGGUCAAGCCGGGCUGAAACAGGGUGGUACCGCGAAGUCUCAAGGCUCUCGCCCCUGAA